Triplophysa dalaica is the source of this 303-nucleotide long non-coding RNA. RefSeq lists it as uncharacterized. NCBI's taxonomy places the organism in Eukaryota, Metazoa, Chordata, Actinopteri, Cypriniformes, Nemacheilidae. The transcript has 3 exons. The record is from RefSeq and is a predicted model, not a curated record.
UGUGUUUAGCGCACCUCAGGUGGAGAGUGUGACUCUGUGCGGUAGAUUCCGAUGGGGAUCUCUGAGCUAGAUGAACAGAACUUCUGGAAUAAUCUUCCGUAUGUCCGGAUCCAGAGGUUUAAGGAUCUGGACGCAGAGAGGACAGUUUGGAGCGAAGUCCUUCACAGCCCAGGCUCUAAGAAUGGACACAGAGAGAAGGAUCAACAGAGCAAUUACAACUCAACAGACCAUUCAGAGAAAGCUCUGUCGCCUGAGUGAUGUCGUGAUUGGCCAUCGAGGCGGUCGCUCACUUGGCUCUGAGCA